Long non-coding RNA from Globicephala melas (long-finned pilot whale), 1257 nucleotides. RefSeq lists it as uncharacterized. The record is from RefSeq and is a predicted model, not a curated record. Lineage: Eukaryota; Metazoa; Chordata; Mammalia; Artiodactyla; Delphinidae.
AGGGAGAUACACCAUGGAUAUGCUGUAAAAAUUCAGUCAACUGUGAGGUAGAAACUUUAUUACCCCGAGCUUUAAGCAUCGAAAGUAAAACCUGAGCAAAUAAUUCAUACAUCUUUGAGCCCUUUUGCCCCAUCUUAUUUUACUUCUGACUAUUGCCUUAUGCCUCUAUUAGUUCCACUUUUACUGGUGGCCACACAUAUUUUGCAUAAGGGUUCUCUUACCUGCACUUUCUUUUUCUUUUAAUUGCCUUCACGCUUCAGGUCCCUGUUCGAGUGCCACUUGCCGCGGACCAGCCGGAGAAAGAGGAUCUCACCGCCCAGGGUCAGAAGGGAAGGGGACAUUUCAUCUUGACAAUCUGCACAUCUGGGAGACUAUCAAGAAAUGCUUUGAGGUCGAUGCCAUUCAGCACAAUCCGAUUGUCAUAAAUGUGCCCAUUGGACUUAAAAUCGAUGACUGCCUUCUUCUUCAGCUGCAUGCAGUGUCUCUCAGCUGCCUCAAAAUCUCCUGCCUGAUAUUCUCGAUGUGCCAACUCAGCUAACCCUUGGAAGGAAAGCAUACGUUUCGUUGGUUCUGUGCUGUCGGCCACGUUGCCCACAGAAGACGCCAUCUGGAGCUUCUGGAGAGAGUGAGAAAAAGGGGAAUAACUUCCAGUACUCAUACUGACUACUCUACUGACUUAACUAGCACAAGACACAGAAGCAUAAGGACAAACACCACCUUACAAUAUAGCCAUGUCUUGCACUUCACAGCUCUCAAAGCAUGUGCGUUUGAAGAAGAAAAAAAGAACUGAAAAGUACAAAACCAGAAGCUAAUCUGUGGAAAAUUAUUUCAAUCAUCAGGCAUGUGAAAGAUAAGUCAAAGAUUCAGUUCUCAUCAAUGCUUAGUCAAAACGGAAAUUUUCUUCUGUCAAGAAUAUACUCCAGGGGCUUCCCUGAUGGCGCAGUGGUUAAGAAGCCACCUGCCAAUGCAGGGGACAAGGGUUCGAGUCCUGGUCCGGGAAGAUCCCACAUGUCACGGAGCAACUAAGCCAGUGUGCCACAACUACGGAACCUGCGCUCUAGAGCCCGUGAGCCACGACUAUUGAGCCUGCGAGCCACAACUACUGAAGCCUCCGUGCCUAGCGCCCGUGCUCUGCAACAAGAGAAGCCACCGCAAUGAGAAGCCUGUGCACCGCAACGAAGAGUAGCCCCCACUCCCUGCAAGUAGAGAAAGCCUGCGCACAGCAACGAAGACCCAACACAGCCAAAAAUAAAUAAA